Molecule: unclassified non-coding RNA, 387 nt
Filed under: soil metagenome
Description: partial contains 5.8S ribosomal RNA, internal transcribed spacer 2, and large subunit ribosomal RNA
Rfam family: 5.8S ribosomal RNA (bases 1-120)
Source: RNAcentral
GAUGAAGAACGUAGCGAAAUGCGAUAAGUAAUGUGAAUUGCAGAAUUCAGUGAAUCAUCGAAUCUUUGAACGCACCUUGCACCCUUUGGUAUUCCGAAGGGUAUGCUCGUUUGAGUGUCAUUGUACUCUCACACUUCUAAUUCCUUUCGGGAUUGGGAGCGGUGGACUUGGGUGUUGCUGCUUUAGUUGUGGCUCACCUCAAAUAAGUUAGUGCAACUCUUGGUUGGACAUAGUACGGCGUGAUAAGUGUCUUCGCCGGCGCCUCUGUAAGGAGGGUGGCCGAUCGGGAGCUCUGUGCUGCAAACCGUCUUCGGACAAUCUUUGACAACUUGACCUCAAAUCGAGUAGGACUACCCGCUGAACUUAAGCAUAUCAAUAAGCGGAGGA